This 1372-nucleotide ribosomal RNA is filed under the name uncultured bacterium. RNAcentral describes it as "bacterial SSU rRNA". It matches the Rfam family "Bacterial small subunit ribosomal RNA", at positions 28 to 1381 of the family's 1533-position model. The record is from RNAcentral.
GAUGAACGCUGGCGGCGUGCCUAAUACAUGCAAGUCGAGCGAACGGACGAGAAGCUUGCUUCUCUGAUGUUAGCGGCGGACGGGUGAGUAACACGUGGAUAACCUACCUAUAAGACUGGGAUAACUUCGGGAAACCGGAGCUAAUACCGGAUAAUAUUUUGAACCGCAUGGUUCAAAAGUGAAAGACGGUCUUGCUGUCACUUAUAGAUGGAUCCGCGCUGCAUUAGCUAGUUGGUAAGGUAACGGCUUACCAAGGCAACGAUGCAUAGCCGACCUGAGAGGGUGAUCGGCCACACUGGAACUGAGACACGGUCCAGACUCCUACGGGAGGCAGCAGUAGGGAAUCUUCCGCAAUGGGCGAAAGCCUGACGGAGCAACGCCGCGUGAGUGAUGAAGGUCUUCGGAUCGUAAAACUCUGUUAUUAGGGAAGAACAUAUGUGUAAGUAACUGUGCACAUCUUGACGGUACCUAAUCAGAAAGCCACGGCUAACUACGUGCCAGCAGCCGCGAUAAUACGUAGGUGGCAAGCGUUAUCCGGAAUUAUUGGGCGUAAAGCGCGCGUANGCGGUUUUUUAAGUCUGAUGUGAAAGCCCACGGCUCAACCGUGGAGGGUCAUUGGAAACUGGAAAACUUGAGUGCAGAAGAGGAAAGUGGAAUUCCAUGUGUAGCGGUGAAAUGCGCAGAGAUAUGGAGGAACACCAGUGGCGAAGGCGGCUUUCUGGUCUGUAACUGACGCUGAUGUGCGAAAGCGUGGGGAUCAAACAGGAUUAGAUACCCUGGUAGUCCACGCCGUAAACGAUGAGUGCUAAGUGUUAGGGGGUUUCCGCCCCUUAGUGCUGCAGCUAACGCAUUAAGCACUCCGCCUGGGGAGUACGACCGCAAGGUUGAAACUCAAAGGAAUUGGCGGGGACCCGCACAAGCGGUGGAGCAUGUGGUUUAAUUCGAAGCAACGCGAAGAACCUUACCAAAUCUUGACAUCCUUUGACAACUCUAGAGAUAGAGCUUUCCCCUUCGGGGGACAAAGUGACAGGUGGUGCAUGGUUGUCGUCAGCUCGUGUCGUGAGAUGUUGGGUUAAGUCCCGCAACGAGCGCAACCCUUAAGCUUAGUUGCCAUCAUUAAGUUGGGCACUCUAAGUUGACUGCCGGUGACAAACCGGAGGAAGGUGGGGAUGACGUCAAAUCAUCAUGCCCCUUAUGAUUUGGGCUACACACGUGCUACAAUGGACAAUACAAAGGGCAGCGAAACCGUGAGGUCAAGCAAAUCCCAUAAAGUUGUUCUCAGUUCGGAUUGUAGUCUGCAACUCGACUACAUGAAGCUGGAAUCGCUAGUAAUCGUAGAUCAGCAUGCUACGGUGAAUACGUUCCCGGGUCU